This 434-nucleotide ribosomal RNA is filed under the name uncultured bacterium. RNAcentral's name for it is "partial 16S ribosomal RNA". It matches the Rfam family "Bacterial small subunit ribosomal RNA", at positions 29 to 507 of the family's 1533-position model. The record is from RNAcentral.
AGCGAACGCUGGCGGCAGGCCUAACACAUGCCAGUCGAACGAACCUUUCGGGGUUAGUGGCGGACGGGUGAGUAACACGUGGGAACGUGCCUUUAGGUUCGGAAUAACUCAGGGAAACUUGUGCUAAUACCGAAUGUGCCCUUCGGGGGAAAGAUUUAUCGCCUUUAGAGCGGCCCGCGUCUGAUUAGCUAGUAGGUUGAGGUAAUGGCUCACCAAGGCGACGAUCAGUAGCUGGUCUGAGAGGAUGAUCAGCCACAUUGGGACUGAGACACGGCCCAAACUCCUACGGGAGGCAGCAGUGGGGAAUCUUGCGCAAUGGGCGAAAGCCUGACGCAGCCAUGCCGCGUGAAUGAUGAAGGUCUUAGGAUUGUAAAAUUCUUUCACCGGGGACGAUAAUGACGGUACCCGGAGAAGAAGCCCCGGCUAACUUCGUG